Molecule: ribosomal RNA, 273 nt
Filed under: uncultured bacterium
Lineage: Bacteria
Description: partial 16S ribosomal RNA
Rfam family: Bacterial small subunit ribosomal RNA
Source: RNAcentral
UACGUAGGUGGCAAGCGUUGUCCGGAUUUACUGGGCGUAAAGGAUGCGUAGGCGGAUAUUUAAGUGGGAUGUGAAAUACCCGGGCUCAACCUGGGUGCUGCAUUCCAAACUGGAUAUCUAGAGUGCGGGAGAGGAAAGUGGAAUUCCUAGUGUAGCGGUGAAAUGCGUAGAGAUUAGGAAGAACACCAGUGGCGAAGGCGACUCUCUGGACCGUAACUGACGCUGAGGCAUGAAAGCGUGGGGAGCAAACAGGAUUAGAAACCCCCGUAGUCC